CUAAUACCGCAUAUUCUGUGAGCAGGAAAGACAGGGGAUCGCAAGACCUUGCGCUCUGGGAGCGGCCGAUGUACGGAUUAGCUAGUGGUGGGUAAAGGCCUACCAAGGCGACGAUCCGUAGCGGGUCUGAGAGGAUGAUCCGCCACACUGGGACUGAGACACGGCCCAGACUCCUACGGGAGGCAGCAGUGGGGAAUUUUGGACAAAUGGGCGGAAAGCCUGAUCCAGCCAUGCCGCGUGAGUGAAGAAGGCCUUCGGGUUGUAAAGCUCUUUCGGCGGGGAAGAAAAUUGCACGGGUUAAUACCCUGUGUAGAUGACGGUACCCGAAUAAGAAGCACCGGCUAACUACGUGCCAGCAGCCGCGGUAAUACGUAGGGUGCGAGCGUUAAUCGGAAUUACUGGGCGUAAAGCGUGCGCAGGCGGUUUGGUAAGUCAGAUGUGAAAUCCCCGGGCUCAACCUGGGAACUGCAUUUGAGACUGCCAGGCUGGAGUUUGGCAGAGGGGGGUGGAAUUCCA
Molecule: ribosomal RNA, 516 nt
Filed under: uncultured bacterium
Lineage: Bacteria
Description: bacterial SSU rRNA
Rfam family: Bacterial small subunit ribosomal RNA
Source: RNAcentral